Non-coding RNA from Onthophagus taurus, 174 nucleotides. NCBI's taxonomy places the organism in Eukaryota, Metazoa, Arthropoda, Insecta, Coleoptera, Scarabaeidae. The record is from RefSeq and is a predicted model, not a curated record.
ACUACAUACAUCGAAGGACGAUUCUACAGAGAACUUAAUCAAGAAUCUGAUGAAGAUCGUGAAAGAUUUACCAUAAAUAUUGAAAAUAAUAGAGGACGACUCCCAUCUAGUUCAGUGUCUAGAGUAAGAUUCUGGCUAGCAAAUUUGUUUGGGCAGAAUUCAGCUGCAAGCACU